Non-coding RNA from Cricetulus griseus (Chinese hamster), 70 nucleotides. The record is from Rfam. Lineage: Eukaryota; Metazoa; Chordata; Mammalia; Rodentia; Cricetidae.
GGAGAGAUGGCUCAGUGGUUAAGAGCACUGGCUGCUCUUCCAGAGGACCUGGGUUCAAUUCCUAGCACCC